CCCUUAGAUGUCCUGGGCAGCACGCGUGCUACAAUGAUGCAUUCAACGAGUCUUGCCUUAACCGAAAGGUUCGGGUAAACUUUUGAAAUUGCAUCUUGUUGGGGCUUGAUCAUUGUAAUUUUUGAUCACAAACAAGGAAUUCCUUGUAAAUGUGAGUCAUCAACUUGCAUUGAAUACGUCCCUGCCCUUUGUACACACCGCCCGUCGCUUCUACCGAUGAAUGAUCCGGUGAACACUCUGGACUUGUUGUCUGUCGGAGCAAUCCAAAGACGAUAGGGAAGUUGUGUAAACCUUAUCAUUUAGAGGAAGAAGAAGUCGUAACA
RNAcentral lists this ribosomal RNA (323 nucleotides) under uncultured eukaryote. RNAcentral's name for it is "partial 18S ribosomal RNA". It matches the Rfam family "Eukaryotic small subunit ribosomal RNA", at positions 1470 to 1796 of the family's 1831-position model. The record is from RNAcentral.